GGCGGGUUGGCAGAUCAUGCGGUCGACUUAGGAUCGACAGAGGGGGCUGUUAACGCCUCACCCGCUU
Molecule: transfer RNA, 67 nt
Filed under: Azumapecten farreri
Lineage: Eukaryota; Metazoa; Mollusca; Bivalvia; Pectinida; Pectinidae
Description: tRNA-Leu
Source: RNAcentral